RNAcentral lists this unclassified non-coding RNA (563 nucleotides) under Gracilaria tenuistipitata. RNAcentral's name for it is "Agarophyton tenuistipitatum misc_RNA". Lineage: Eukaryota; Rhodophyta; Florideophyceae; Gracilariales; Gracilariaceae. The record is from RNAcentral.
CAAGAAAAAAAAUUAUUACGAGAGCCGAACAUUCGGUCGUGCUAUGCAAGUUUUGGGUUUUUUGGAGGAGUACACAAAAAAGUGAUCCCCGCUAGUGAAAGCGCUUUAGACCGUCAAAAAUUAUUCUAUAAUUGAGCUGCCUUUUUAACAACCAAUGUGUUCCGGUUUUAUUAAAGAGACACAAGUGAGGUUGAGCUUUUGGGUUAUGUAUUAGGAUUCCAAAAAAACCAGAAAGUGGGAGGUAGUUUUUUGAAGGAGUAGGCAAGAAGGGACUCCUGAAAUCGAGCGCCUUAAGAUCGUCAAAAAUUACUUUACAAUUGAGCUGCCUUUUAACGAAGGAAUGUGUUCCGGUCUUAUCCAAGCGACUCAAAUCCGGUUGAGCCUUUGUUGUUUAUUGAGAUAUCAAAAAACUAAAAAAGAAGGAGAAAAACUUGUAUCUAGAGAGCUGCCAGUAGGCCGUAAUAAUUUCUUUUUCAUUCUUCACGCGAAUAAUUUUGUUUGUUCUUUUAUUUUUUACAAAAAAACCAAAACGAAAAAAAAUGUAAAACGUGUCUGAACUAAUU